GGGCGUGCUUCAACUCAUAUGGAGCAGAUUUGGUACAACAUUUGCAAUCAUAGGCUUAGGGAGCCUAAUCAAACCUAUGGGCUAAAACUAAACAAAGGGAAGCCUAAAGUGAAGAUCAAGAAAAGCUUUUGUGAAUAUUCAGCUUUAUUAUGAUGGGCUUGCUAUGUUGUAUUAUUUAAAUACUUGUUUUAUUUUAGUUUUAUUUGGGUUUGUAUUCUGGCCAUAUUUUAUCUUUUAAGUUUUAAAGUGUCCGGCCAUGUUUUGGGUUUAUGUGUUAAUACUUAUGUGUUAUUUUAGUGUGUGAUUGGGCUUGGGCCUUAUGUGUUUAAAUUAGGCCUAAGAAGAGUGUCUUAGGGUUUUAUUUGUUUUCUCCUUACUAUAUAAGGAUAAGAAACACUUGUAAGAGGCAACUUUUAAUUAAAAUUAUCAGAAUUUUUUUCAUGCCUUUGGCGUGUAUUGCUUUGAGUGAGAGUGAGGAUUUGCUUUCAUCAAUUGCACCAAGAAUCUUGGCUAACUUAUCAACCAUUCGUUGUGGCGUUUGUCAGAUUCUCAUCUAAAUCCUUCGAUCAUUGGUGUUUCAACUUCUCUAAGUGUGGGGUGCCAUAGGAGGUAGGUUUAUCAAAUCUUUGAAUUCCUUAUCUACUGUGCGUGUGGGUUUGAGGCUUGUGCCAUAGGGUUCCGCGUCAGUUGGUAUCAGAGCCAAAGUGAGGUAAAUUCUUAUUUAUCUUAGGAUCUAGGGUUUUUUGAGUUUUCCUUUUCUUCCUUAUUGUUUUCAGUGAAAGCUUGUGUGUACAUGGCUGCACCUUCUUGAUUAUUAAUCAUCACGAAAAAAAAAUCGAAAUCCUUAAAAAAAAAGUCAAAAAUCAAAAAUCGUCUUUGCCUUAUUUAUCUUGAUCUGACCAAAAUUGUGAUAUGCUUCCUUUUUCGUCCAUAUUGCCUUACCUUAUCUCAAUUGAUUGCUGUUAUUUAUGGGAAUCAAUUUUAAAUUUUAAAUUUUGAAUUGGGUUGAAUCCAGAUUAGGAGAUAAAAAAAAUUUUGCCUAUUUCCUAACGUGCACAUUUAAGGCAAUUGCAUCUAAAUUGAUUUGAUGUCAAAUCCUUCUUUUAACACCAGAAUUUUCGUCCAUGUUUCUGAACCGAGUGAAAUUUAAAAUUUUUUUUUCUAAUUCUAUUUGUAGGGUCUUGAUACUUGCCUUUUUGAGUAAAUUUAAAUAGAUCCAUAUUUAAUUUACUUUGAAGUGAAUUAAAUUCAAUCUUUUGUCCAGAUUCGUUUUUAUUUGAAUUCUAAGUUUUCUUUUUGGUUUAAACUUGCUUUUACUUCCUUGACAUUGCUAGAGUAUUGUUUGUUUGUGUCUAUAAUCUAGGUGAUAUUUUUCAAAUAGCACAAAACCUAGUCCUUGUGUUACUUUCCAAAUUGUCAGUGUCUUCUUUCUAGUUUUGCACGUUUUCUUCUUUCUUUAGGUUUUCUUCUUUGUUUCAUUAAACGCACCUUAUAGUUGGUUGGUUGACCUUAGUUUCUGAAGUGCAAUUGAACAAUCAGCAAAAAAGUGGUAAGAGUGCAAACACUUGAGUGCUUUUAUUUCUGACACCAUAUUUGCUAGUUCUCUUUGUUCUUCAUUGAUUUAAGGCAGGAUGAGUAAAUAUAAAAAUGUAGUGGAUAGUGAUGAUGAAAGUGAAUGGGACAUGGCUAGUGAUUAUAAACUCUUCAAAAAGUCAGUUAGUAGUGAGUUUAGAAUGAUUUAUAAAACUCUUGAGAGAUUGACUGAAACUAUGGAGAUUUUAAAUGUCUCACAAGCUUCCACUUCUAUAAGAAUACCUCAAAGAACUCUUAAUUGCAAUAAGGACUGUGAUGAUUCGGAUGUGUUUGUUGAUUAUGUGUUGCUUGCUAAACAUGGUGAGAUGCUUGUUGCUAGGCGUGCUCUGAAUAUGCAGGUUAAGGAAAAAAGUCUAGAACAACGGAAAAACAUAUUUCACACUAGGUGUUUGGUUAAUGGAAAAGUGUGUAGUCUCAUUAUUGAUGGAGGUAGUUGCACAAAUGUGGCUAGUGUGUAUAUGGUGGAGAAAUUGGGCUUGACUUCUAUUAAACACCCUAAGCCAUACAGAUUGCAAUGGUUGAACAAUUCUGGUGAGGUUACGGUUACACGCCAGGUGGUUAUACCAUUUUCUAUUGGUAGGUACAAGGAUGAGAUCUUGUGUGAUGUGGUACCUAUGCAGGCAAGCCAUAUGUUGUUAGGUAGACCGUGGCAAUAUGAUAGAAAAGUGCAACAUGAUGGGCUCAAUAACAAGUACUUCUUCAUUCAUGAAGGACAGAAAGUUAUACUCGCUCCUUUAUCACCUCAAGAGGUAUAUGCUGAUCGAAUAAAAAUACUGGAGAGGGCGAGGGAGGCUUCGGCCUUGGCUACAAAGGGGAGUGAGAGCUUGAGUUCUGAGGAAAAAAUGAGAGAAAAGAGUGAGUUUGAGGGUAAAGAGGCUGGAAAAGAAUCAAGACUAGUUCAAGGAGGGAAGAUGGAGAAAGAAAAUGAGAAAGAAGAAGCUAAAUUUCCAAUCUCAACUUCCAUAGAGAUUGAAAUUGAAGAGGAAGUUGUAAUGCAUGAAUCUAAUGUUGUUGUUGAAAAUUCCAUCAAUGAGCUUAUAGAAGAGGUUGUGAAUGAUGGUGGACAUGGGGAGCACAUGAUUGAUGAGGUGGAAGAGGUGAAUGAGACUGUUUUGGAAGUUAUAGAGGAGAAUUGGUCACAUCCACAGGAUCUUUCUAUGGCCAAUAUUUUUAUGCCUAGUUCAUUUGUUUUUGAUGUGCAGGUUGAUGAAAACAUCCAUGAUGAAAGUUUUAUGCUAUUUCCAUCUAUUCAAGAUGGGAUCUUUGAAGAUGCAUGGGUUCCUAAAGCUUCCCUUCUUGACAUAAAUAUCAACAAGAUUCGAGAACGAAUCUUUUCUAAAGAAAGAGGGAAUGAUACGGAUCCAAUAGGGCAAAUUUCUAACAAUGGUGUGGAGCAAACUUAUGUCAUUCAAAUGGAUCUAAAAGGAGUUCAAAAUCAUAUUCAUAUGAUCCAUAUAUAUUUGGAGCGUGCUUCAACUCAUAUGGAGCAGAUUUGGCACAACACUUGCAAUCAUAGGCUUAGGGAGCCUAAUCAAACCUAUGGGCUAAAACUACACAAAGGGAAGGCUAAAGUGAAGAAGGCUUUUGUGAAGAUUCAGCUUUAUUAUGAUGGGCUUGCUAUGUUGUAUUAUUUAAAUACUUGUUUUAUUUUAGUUUUGUUUGGGCUUGUAUUCGGCCAUAUUUUAUCUUUUAAGUUUUAAAGUGUUGGGCCAUGUUUUGGGCAUAUGUGUUAAUACUUAUGUGUUAUUUUAGUGUGUGAUUGGGCUUGGGCCUUAUGUGUUUAAGUCAGACCUAAGAAGAGUGUUUUAGGAUUUUAUUUGUUUUCUCCUUACUAUAUAAGAAUAAGAAACACUUAUAAGAGGUAGCUUUUAAUCAAAAUUAU
Molecule: long non-coding RNA, 3475 nt
Filed under: Manihot esculenta (cassava)
Lineage: Eukaryota; Viridiplantae; Streptophyta; Magnoliopsida; Malpighiales; Euphorbiaceae
Description: long non-coding RNA (MESC_LNC004806)
Source: RNAcentral